GAUCCUGGCUCAGGAUGAACGCUAGCUACAGGCUUAACACAUGCAAGUCGAGGGGGCAGCAUCAUCAAAGCUUGCUUUGAUGGAUGGCGACCGGCGCACGGGUGAGUAACACGUAUCCAACCUGCCGACAACACUGGGAUAGCCUUUACGAAAGAAAGAUUAAUACCGGAUGGUAUAGUUUUCCCGCAUGGGGUGACUAUUAAAGAAUUUCGGUUGUCGAUAGGGGAUGCGUUCCAUUAGGGCAGG
Molecule: ribosomal RNA, 246 nt
Filed under: uncultured bacterium
Lineage: Bacteria
Description: partial 16S ribosomal RNA
Rfam family: Bacterial small subunit ribosomal RNA
Source: RNAcentral